AAAAAGCAUAACUGCCUACAAAAUUCUUCAUCAACUAUCUUGAGAGAGGAUUAAUUCUCAUAGAAGCUCAGGGAUCCAAUAGACAAAAACCAUGCUUAACAAUUCACCCUUCUCCAGUGGAGCCACUUCAUGAUUCUGAAGGUUCUGGGCGAUUACAUGGAGUUGUUUUCUCCUCAAAACGAUGGUUUGACGCGUCUUGAAGUUUGAAGGAUGAAUUUGAGGUGGAUGGUAACAUGGAGAUCUA
RNAcentral lists this unclassified non-coding RNA (244 nucleotides) under Hevea brasiliensis (rubber tree). The record is from RNAcentral. Lineage: Eukaryota; Viridiplantae; Streptophyta; Magnoliopsida; Malpighiales; Euphorbiaceae.